This 60-nucleotide microRNA precursor is filed under the name Pelobates cultripes (western spadefoot toad). Lineage: Eukaryota; Metazoa; Chordata; Amphibia; Anura; Pelobatidae. The record is from RNAcentral.
GUAGCAUUCAAUGGUUCUUAUUUCCAAAUGUAUUUGGAAAUAAGAACCAUUGAAUGCUAC